Lycium barbarum (goji berry) is the source of this 844-nucleotide long non-coding RNA. RefSeq lists it as uncharacterized. The record is from RefSeq and is a predicted model, not a curated record. Lineage: Eukaryota; Viridiplantae; Streptophyta; Magnoliopsida; Solanales; Solanaceae. The transcript is spliced from 3 exons.
UUUAGAGUCCUUAAGGGUUCCAUAACCUUCCACAAUCUUCCAUAAUCUCCCAUAAUUUUCCACAAUCUCCCAUAAUCUUCCAUAACCUUCCACAAUCUUCCAUAAUCUCCCAUAAUUUUCCACAAUCUCCCAUAAUCUUCCAUAACCUUCCACAACCUUCCAUAACCUUCCAUAAUCUUCCAUAACCUUCCAAACCUUUCCAUAUUAUCAAGAGAGAAGACCAACAUCAAGACCCCAAGGAUAAUCCAUGGAAGGUAAUUUUUCUUGUUUCUCUUCAUGGUGGUGAUGAACUUGAUCUUGGAAAGAGUUGAAUAAAGUGAAGUUCUUCUACUAUAAGAUUACGAGACUACGAACGAUCAUAACUACAUUGCAAGACAAAAGGUAGAUUGGAAAGUCGGAAAGUGAGCUUCCAGGUGUGGACAGACGGGACAAGGAUAUUCCCCAAUAGGCUGCUUUCAGGUACCAGUCUUGAUUGGUGGGCUCCAUUUCUUCCUGGAGCAUUUUCGAGUCUGAGUUUUAUAUGUUUUUAUGACAAGAGGGUAUGUCGGGGGCCCUGUCUUGACUUGUGUACUUCAAUCAUGUUCCUAGAGGCUUUGCAGACAGAUUCCUGUGUACAGCUCAGUUAUGUUUUGUUAGUGGAUAUAUGGACGUCGCAGGCCCAUUGUAUAUAUACAUAUGCAUGCUAUUAUAUUCAUAGUUGGCCUUUUUGGCCUUAUUUUGCCGUUUGAGACAUAGAGGAUGCAAGUUACAGUUUGGUUCGCUCGACCCUAGUAAGGUGACGGGUGCCAGUCACGCCUUACCAGGGUAGGGGUGUGACAGUUUUCACCCUUUUUCAAAAUCUGCU